This 725-nucleotide long non-coding RNA is filed under the name Homo sapiens (human). RNAcentral describes it as "HSALNT0362024". The record is from RNAcentral. Lineage: Eukaryota; Metazoa; Chordata; Mammalia; Primates; Hominidae.
GAUUGCUUAAAUUUUACAUAUAUUAGAGUCACUUCCAAGUUAUCCUCAUUUCAACAUCACUCUCAUUAUCACUGGUGUUCUUGAGUACGAGGAAAAGUCGUAAAGUUACAGACAGUGCUUGGAAUAGUUCAAAACUGACAUUGUGUCUUAUUUAUUAUGCUUUUCUAUAGGGUAUUUCACCAACUAUCAUGUCUGCCAUUCUAGAUUUUGUUAAUUUACUUGCUUUUGCUGUACUAAAUUGGGAAAAGGAUUACUUUGCAGACAUUUUGAUGUUGAAAAGCAGAGUAGCUUUAAAAAUAUCCCAUCCCCCACACCAAUAUGUUAACGGUGUCUUCAACUGCCAUCCUUGAUUUUGGCCAUCUUGACAGUAAUUAGCAGAAUUCAAGGGUAUCUUGAAUUUUCCCUCUAAGUUUGAUUUUCUUGUGGUUUUAUUAAUGUGACAGAUGAUGAUGAUGAUGAUGAUAAUGAUGAUGAUGAUAAUGAUGAUUCCAGGGCACCACCUUUCUUCAGUAGGUCUGGAUAUUUUGCUUCGGUGGUCCUGGGUGAUGUAGAUGAAUUUGCAUUUUUAACAAGACUUCUGCUCAACCCCUGUUCUAGCCCUGCCAAGAUUAUGAAGCAGGAAAUACCAGAAUACAGAGAAGCACUAUGCUGAGGGAAGAGGGGCUAGGCUGUUUCUCUCAGUGCAUUUAAUUGUAAAGUUGGAGUUAAGGAGCAUUGAUAUUUUG